GCGCCCUUAGCUCAAUAGGAUAGAGCGCUUGGCUACGGACUAAGAGGUUGUGGAUUCGAUUUCUGCAGGGCGCGCCA
RNAcentral lists this transfer RNA (77 nucleotides) under Bacillota bacterium. RNAcentral's name for it is "tRNA-Arg". It matches the Rfam family "tRNA". From Rfam's summary of the family: Transfer RNA (tRNA) molecules are approximately 80 nucleotides in length. RNAcentral also lists the same sequence under 2 other names. The record is from RNAcentral. Lineage: Bacteria; Bacillati; Bacillota.